CCGGCUCCGGUUCACCCCGGCUACCAGCGCGGGGACCCGGCGGCC
Molecule: regulatory RNA element, 45 nt
Organism: Actinosynnema mirum DSM 43827
Lineage: Bacteria; Bacillati; Actinomycetota; Actinomycetes; Pseudonocardiales; Pseudonocardiaceae
Rfam family: L31-Actinobacteria ribosomal protein leader
Source: Rfam